RNAcentral lists this ribosomal RNA (521 nucleotides) under Stigmatogaster souletina. Its description in RNAcentral is "partial 16S ribosomal RNA". It matches the Rfam family "Bacterial large subunit ribosomal RNA", at positions 1816 to 2600 of the family's 2925-position model. Lineage: Eukaryota; Metazoa; Arthropoda; Chilopoda; Geophilomorpha; Himantariidae. The record is from RNAcentral.
GUCUUUUUUGUUUUUUAAAAUAAAAAAGUGUGCCUGCCCGGUGACUUUUUAUUGGUUUAACGGCCGCGGUAUUAUGACCGUGCAAAGGUAGCAUAAUCAUUAGUCUUUUAAUUGAGGACUGGUAUGAAUGGCGUGACGGAGAUUUUCUUUUUUAAUAAUUUGUGUUGAAUUUUAAAAUAUUGUGAAGAUGCAUUAAUGAAUUUAAAAGACGAGAAGACCCUAUUAAGCUUGUAAGUUUAAUGAGAAUUAGAUAUAUAGUGUUGGUUUCGUUUGAUUUUGUGUUGGGGCGACAGGCAGUUAAGUGAAAAACUUGCUUUUAUAGUAAAUAUUGUCAGAUAUAUGUGGGUGUUAGAUCCAUGGUUUUAUAUGAUAAGAGGAUAAAGUUACUAUAGGGAUAACAGCGUAAUUAUGACGGAGAGUUCAAAUUGAUGUUGUAGAUUGCGACCUCGAUGUUGAAUCAGGAUAUUUAUAGGGCUGCAGUAGGCCUAUAAAAUAGUCUGUUCGACUAUUAAAAUCCUACG